Molecule: Y RNA, 110 nt
Organism: Papio anubis (olive baboon)
Lineage: Eukaryota; Metazoa; Chordata; Mammalia; Primates; Cercopithecidae
Rfam family: Y RNA
About the family: Y RNAs are components of the Ro ribonucleoprotein particle (Ro RNP), in association with Ro60 and La proteins. The Y RNAs and Ro60 and La proteins are well conserved, but the function of the Ro RNP is not known.
Source: Ensembl
GGCUGGUCUGAAGGCAGUGAGUUAUCUCAACUGAUUGCUCAGUUAGUUACAGAUCGAAAUCCUUGUUCUACUCUUUCCCCCUUCUCAAUACUGUACUUGAAUAGCCUUAU